CUCGCCUGCAGCCCUACCGUCAUGUCAUUCACGGUUAGGGCGACGCGGCCGUUGGCGAGGCGGUGGUGGGCAGCAUCUGGGAGCAAUCGAUGACGACCCACUAUCUUAUCCUCACAGGCGCCGCUCCUCAUGAUGGUCUCUUCUGGGCAACCUCUGAUUUGGUGGCGCGAGACGUGGAGGAGACCAAAUUUGUUGGAGCACGUCGAACGCGCAAGGCGUGGUGGACUCCCUACCUCUCCCCAGGUUUCCUCCUCUGCCCAAUACCCCCAAUUUGAAAUUCGAUUUGGGGAUUUCAGGCCUCUUAAUUUGAGCUCCACAACAUAUCUACUUUAAUGGCUUCCGUCGGUUCUCUGUUGUCGUGCAUUCAGUAUAUGAAUCCUUUGGUUUCCUCUUCUCGAAUGACCUGCUGACCGCUUCUCCACCGCUGGGAUGCCCAACAAUGCUGUCCUUGCCUCCGCCUGCAUCUCCACCUAGGGCCGCCAUCGCGUCCGCCCUUUUCUUCAAAAGGGCCUGCUGCCGCAUUGACGAGCCUGGUCUUCGCUUCUCCGUUUCCACUCGAAUUUCUCAUAUAUUCAAUCUCUAGAUUGCUAGGCCGUGAUUGCCGCUGGUAUGCAACGGCAAGAGGAAUCCAGUGUCCUGACUCCAGAAUCGUCAUCCUAUUCAACAUUCUCCUGCAGUUCAGUCGUAUAUAGAAAAAGUACAGUAAUAUUGUUUCAUGUAUGCUGCACAUUAGCGCUUGGAUUAAAGACCGCUCACGCUUAGAGCAUUUUAUUUUCAUAUGGGGUUGGAGUUCAGCUCCCCGUUUGCGGUUUACCGGGGAAUUUGUGGUUUCGCUCCGAUGGCAUCGUCUCCGGUGGUGUUGUAACUAAUGUGGUCGAUUCGUGAUGAUCUCACCAGCUACCGUCUUUACCCGGGCUGUGACUGUCGAUUUCUCGAGGAGUUACACCAGGUUAGCCACGAUGAAUACCAGCGACUCCCGCACCGGCCGAUGAUGAGCUCAACAUGAUGUCACUCCAACCUUAGGGUAUCGGGUGGCGGCAAGGAGCCCCGCGGCGGUGACAUCAGGGACACUCUGAAUCAAUUUGUCAAUUAGUCAAUUCGUCAGACACUUACACAAUGUCAGUUACCAUCUCCAGCGUGCCAUGGGAUUGAGCACGAGCCGUGCAGACUAGGACAAGAGUGGUGACGUCCACACCAUGGCCUUGAUGAUCUUGACGCUGUUGUAUCAUGGAGCUCUAGCUUGCUGCUUCAGAGUGUCACGCAGAACCUCUCAUUGGGAACUGAUUUCAGCUGACACCACAAAGGAAUUCAGGUGUUGGUUUUAUUGCUAGAUAUGACACGAAGAAAAUGCUCUGGCCAACAAGCAAUCUAGGAGGAUAUAUGAACUAUCAUCCACACAAUCUGGAUCGACAUAGUUGGAAGAUGAAUCGGUGCCUCGAGAGCUACCUUAAGAUGCAGGAUGUGCACACGGUCAUCUUCUUUCUUUUUUGCCCGACCCCAAGCAUCACUUAAGAGUUUCUUCUGUUACAAGUGUUUGUUUUCCACCAUAAUUAUGCGAGUUGAUUGGUCGGCAUUAUACGAAUUGGUUCAUGGUUUGUCCUCUUUGGAAAACACCAAGCUUGCUCCUCAUUAUACUACUGUAUGCCGUGCCAUGUGUUGAAAUUUCUCGGUACACUAUGGUUUAGGAUAACUUUCUGCUUAUAUUCUGAUGCUUUACCUACAGCCAACUGUUUCUACUCGAAUUCCUUUGUGGUUGAUGAGAUUCUAGAUGAUGUGCUUUCUGAUUAGGUUUACUGAGGUGAGUUUGUAUGAAUUUCUUAAUGCAGUUUUUUUUUUCAGUCCAAGAAGCAUUAAAAUCUUGCUUCCGUCCCAAGGGAACAUGAUGAAAGGAUGUACGCCAACUAAUCAUAUAGAUCAAUUCAAGGCACGGCUAAAAGAAGGUUCAGCUUACACCUUAGAAAAUUCAUCGUUGCUGAUGUGCAGAAUAAAUACAGAGUAGCAGAUCAUCCUUACAGAAUCAAAAUUACUCAGUGCUCAAAAGUUCAGGAAAUCAUUCCACAACCUGAUAACCCUCCUCUAUUUUCAUAUAAUGCAACUCAUUUGAGGUCCUGCAGACACGUGCAGUCGACAAUAGUCCUGUCAGGUAUUCACUUCACUGCACAUGUGAUCGAGUGCUUAUAUUAUUUAUUAUUGUUUCUUCUUAUUUUUCUACUCUGUAUUUAUUUCUCCUCUGUUAGGUAUUCACUUCAGUGCACAUGCUAGAUUAAAUUACACACUACCGUUGCGGUACACUGAUCUUACUCUGUUUUUCCCCCAGCAAGCAGUAAGAUACCAUCUGCAUCAUCAGACUAACCUGUUCCAACUACUCGAGACAGAGAUGAAGCACUGUCGAUGCUGUUUUUCGUUGUUAUUUUCUUUCAGCUUUCUACUAGAAGCAUUAAAUUCCCUGCUCAUUCUUCCGUUGGAGUUCCUCACAGCAAUAGGCUUAGAAUAGCAGAUACUGAAGUGCACAUACUGCUGGUCAUCCUCGCUGAGCUCUGUUAAAAUUCAUUUCUUAGAGUUUAGUGUUUGCUGAACAUAUGCAGUGCUUGGUGAGGUGUAGGUGUGUUGGUUCGCAUGUGUUCUUUUCUUUUCUCCUCUUGCAUAUUCUGCAUAUGUAUCAUGGUUUUUUGUUGCUCUGUUUUCUAGGAUCAAUUCUUUACGCAAGACGAAGAAGUUUCCACUUACUCCUUUAA
This is a long non-coding RNA of Lolium rigidum, 2735 nucleotides long. RefSeq lists it as uncharacterized. The record is from RefSeq and is a predicted model, not a curated record. The transcript has 5 exons. Lineage: Eukaryota; Viridiplantae; Streptophyta; Magnoliopsida; Poales; Poaceae.